Molecule: long non-coding RNA, 2066 nt
Organism: Ictalurus furcatus (blue catfish)
Lineage: Eukaryota; Metazoa; Chordata; Actinopteri; Siluriformes; Ictaluridae
Exons: 3
Source: RefSeq, a predicted model, not a curated record
UAUUCUAGGUGGUUGGUAGGGUUUGAUAGGUGGUUACUGUGGCAUUUCAGUUGGUUGCUAGGGUUGGUUGCAUUUUAGUUGGUUACUAGGUAGUUGUUAUGGUGUUUUGGGUGGUUGCUAGGGUGUUGUUAGUUGGUUGCUAUGGUAUUCCAGACAGUUGCUAGGGUGUUUCUAGGUGGUUACAAUGGUAUUCCAGAUGGUUGCUAGGGUGUUGCUAGGUGGUUGCUAUGGUAUUCCAGAUGGUUGCUAGGUGGUUGCUAUUGUAUUCCAGAUGAUUGCUAGGUGGUUGCUAUGGUAUUCCAGAUGGUUCCUAGGAUGUUGCUAGGUGAUUGAUAUAUCCAUUCCAUGGGUUGUGUUGGGUUUGCUAGGUGGCUUCUGUGGUAUUCCAGGUGGUUGCUAGGUCUUAGCUAGGUGGUUGCUAUGGAAUCUUAGCUACAAAUAAACACACUAACAACAAUCUGUCAUAUUCCAGGGAGUGACUAAGGUGUUAGUAGGAAGAAAAUUGCAGUUCUUUUUCAUUUCUACUGACCGCCAGAGGCGGUGCUUUCAGCACCUGGAUGUCAAUAAUGUGUACGUGCAGGUCGAGUGCUUAUACGAACAAAGUCACCUGUGGCCUGAGUGGCGUGUGCCUUUUGCCCCGGUACUAAAGGCACGUUCACCCCGGAAACGACCUCUUGUUAUCUUCUCGCGUUGGUAAGCAGGUUUCAGGAGUGCAGGCACCGCUGGUAGUCUUGUAACCCGAAGUAGGGUUGGCGCUACGGACUUUCGUCCUCCAAAGACUGUGGUUAGCCUUUUUGUGAUUAUUUAACUUCAGAUAGUACGCUAUCCUGCAAGAGAACUGGUGUAACAGUCAGGUUUGUGUGCCUCCUCGCUCAGACAUGCGUUUUCAGUUCAGUCGACACAUUUUCUAUGGGAUUCAGUGUUGUGCUGCAUUUGCAUCCAUCUCAACUCUCCGUGACUGACAGAUUACUUCGUCUAAUAAUGGAUGCAGCAGAGCUGGAUUUGCGCCAUGCUGUCUCGGCUCAGGGACAGCUGAUGGGAGAGCUAACACUUUACUCCCUAAUCGGCCCCACUAUUUGCCUCACUAUUUGCCAUCUGCUGCACAGCCAGCAGCCCUGCUUGGAGAUGGGAGGUCCUCAGUGAGUGGACCUUCCUCAGGAACCCAUGCAACAGGGGCACAGCAAGCUCAACCAGGAGCAAAGGGAGAGGUGAUGUCAGGAACACCGCUGCUUUUACUGUGGUAGCCCUGACCAUAUUGUAGUAUACUACUAUUGACCUAUAAAGCAUUAAAUGGUCUCACACCACAGUACCCGAGUGAAAUUUUAGUCUUUUAUGAUCCGCCACGCCUACUUCAAUCAAAAGGUGCAGGCUAUUUGUUGGUACCUUGAACAUUGAAGGCUACAGCAGGGGGAAAAGCUUUCUCUCAUACAGUCCAACAGUUAUGGAACAACCGUCCAAUUCGUGUUCAGGACUCAGACACAGUCUUGGUGUUUAAGUCCAGGCUGAAAACAUCUUUGUUCAUUCAAGCUUUUUGUGAAUAGUUUUUUUCUUAGGUAAAGGAGCAGAUCUAGAGGCUCACAGACAUAGAACCUGUGGGAUGUGCUGGACAAACAAGUCCGAUCCUUGAGGCCCCACCUUACAACUUACAGGGCUUAAAGGAUCUGCUCCUAACGUCUUGGUACCAGAUACCACAGCACACCUUCAGAGCACUUGUGGAGUCCAUGCUUCAACAGGUCCGAGCCGUUUUGGUGGCACGAGGGAAGACCUACACAAUAUUAAGCAGGUGGUUUUAGUGUUAUUAAUGUUAUUUAAUGUGUGGAUACUGGAAGUAUAUUAAAUAACAAAAACAAGUGUUUGAAUUAAGUUUCUCCUCACAGUUAUAUGGAGAUUUUUAUCACCUCUGAUUGAGAGGGUGUUUGUUUUCCUGUACCAUUGCAGAACCACAGUCAUGAAGAGUUUGGAAAGAGAUAUGAUUAAAGGAUUAAAGGCAGCCGUUUGUUAGCUCCAAACAUUCAGAUGUAGGGGUGAAAGAUCGCUUAUUAAACCAUGUUUGUUUUGCUUCACCA